CUUAGAUCCCAUUCCCUCUUGUCCACUCAAAGGAUACGGCUCCAGCAAACACCUCCCUCACCCACUUACCCACACAUAUUGAUCCCCUUCACACACAUAUAGACCACUCCCAUAUUCACCCACUCCCCACACAUAUAGACCAGCCCCACAGGAUACAAAGCAGUAGUCCCCUCCUAUCUGCAGGGGACAAGUUCCAAGACCCCCAGUGGAUAUUUGAAACUGGAAAGCACUGAGCCCUAGAUAUACUAUGUUUUUUCCUACUCAUACAUACCUAUGAUGAAGUUUAAUUUAUAAUUUAGCACAUUAAGAGAUUAACAGCAGUAAGGAGAACAAUUAUAACAAUAUACUGUAAUAAAAGUUAUGUAAAUGUGGUUCUCUCUCAACAUCUUAUUGUACUCAUCCUUGUGAUGAUGUGAGAUGGUACAAUGCCUUUGUGAUGAGAUGAGGUGAGUGGCAUGGUCAUUGGGGCACAGUGUUAGGCUACUACAGACUUUUGAAGAUACAUCAGUAGGAGGAUCAUCUGCUUCAGGUGAUCCUGGACUACUGAGCCAUGACAAUGUAGAUGGUUUAUGUCAGGGGCUAUGUGUGUGCCUUGCCUCCUUUCCUGGUACUUCCUCAUCUCUCCAGCUCUAAAUAUGGAAUGCCCAGGGCUCAGGCCUUUCAAGGUUUCUCUUAUCUGUCUACCCUGCUUCCCUCAGCAAUCUCAGCCAGAAUCAUGGCUUUAAACUUUCUUUUUUUUUUUUUUUUUUUUUUUUUUUAGACGGAGUCUCACUCUGUUGCCCAGGCUGGAGUGCAGUGGUGUGAUCACGGCUCACUGCAAACUCCCCUCCUGGGUUCACGCCAUUCUCCCGCCUCAGCCUCGUAGCUGGGACUACAGGCGCC
RNAcentral lists this long non-coding RNA (882 nucleotides) under Homo sapiens (human). RNAcentral's name for it is "HSALNT0345625". Lineage: Eukaryota; Metazoa; Chordata; Mammalia; Primates; Hominidae. The record is from RNAcentral.